This is a long non-coding RNA of Camelus dromedarius (Arabian camel), 5205 nucleotides long. RefSeq lists it as uncharacterized. The record is from RefSeq and is a predicted model, not a curated record. The transcript is spliced from 4 exons. Lineage: Eukaryota; Metazoa; Chordata; Mammalia; Artiodactyla; Camelidae.
ACCAUACUGGGCAAUGCAAGUCUGGUCUCUUUUGUUUAAGGAGUUGAAUGGUAAAGAGUAAAGAGAAAUAAGGCCAUGUUUUGAGGGGAGUUGGAUCUAGUGAGGGUUUUAUUUAGUAUGAGAUGCAUGCAUGUUGACUCUGGGGGACAGAGAGGGGAGAGCCUGGAGAUGGAAGGAAAUUAAAAUGAUGCCUCAUCCGGGAGGCAGCUGUAUGGGAGGGGGAACGGAGGAGAGAGCGUGGAGGGCGGUGGUAUCUAGGUCCCAAGACAAGGAUGAGCUUUGCAGUUGGUGCUGGUUGGGUUCUUCUUCUGUAAUUACAGGCAGACCUCGGAGAUAUUGCAGGUUUGGUUCCAGACCACGGCAAUAAAGCAAAUAUUGCAAUAAAGGCCCUUCUUGAAAUCCGGCUCUGUCUUGGCUGGUGCUACCUGAACAGAGGAACCGGAGGAAGAUGCAAAGGCUCUGAAUCCCAAGGGGGCCGUCCAGAGCCAGGAGAAUGUACAUAGCUCACUUAGAAGCAACACUUCAAGAUGUUGCUGAAAGAAAGCUGGGCUGCAUGAGGAUUGCUUUGUGCUAAAAUACAGAUUCCCAGUGCGACAACACCGACUCACCGGGAGCCAGCAUCUACUCUGCGUCUGCUAGAGAUGAGCACCAGAGCGCCGGAUGAGACUUGGAAACAGGCCGUCUCUCCUCUACACAAUUUCUUUGAGUUUCUUUCACGGACACAUCACAAGAGCAAUUUGCACAGGGGCUACGCUCUCGAGAGCAGGAGCAUGCCUUGUGAAAGGAAUCUGAAACUGUUGUCCGAUGUGUUUUUACUAGAUCUGGUCACCACCACGCCAGCUAACUGACAACAUCAAAUGAGGCAUAACUUCCUGCCCUCAGAGCCUUGGAAUGUAGUCGUGAAUCACCACCCUCUGUGUUACUGCCUGGUUGUUGCAAUAGGAAGAAAAAUGAAGAACGUGACGUCCACGUUAGGAAAGUCCUUAUCUGUGAUGCUGUAGCUUUGUGGCUCCAUUGUAUACUCUGCCUUCCCUUCUCUCUUCUGGUUUUGCAAAGAGCAGGCCUGAGAUGACAGUCCCAGAUCUGCACAAACCUUCCUGGACCCCUACUUUUCUCAGAUGUAUAAGGUUGUCACUUACAAAGACUUCAUUACUAAUCAUCAGCUAUAUCUUGGAAAAUUCUUGUACAAAAGUAUGACAUCUUAUAAUGGAUACCGUAUAACUGCUGUAAGUUCACAGUGUCUGCCUUAAUUUAGGGUUAUUCACACAUUUCAUCUGUUAGUGACUCAGUUCUGUGGCAAGAGCCCUGUGCCAAGAGCAGAAGCUUUGCCCUUGACAGAUACCACAGUGUGGUGAUAAAGGAAGCUGUUCUUUCUUCUCUCCCUGUACCACCUUCCAGACUUGAAGCCAGCACUUCAGAACAUCACUAAAAACCAGAAAGAAGUUAAAGAAAAAAAAAAGAAGGGGGGUGAAACAGCCAAAAUAGAGGCCAUAAAGUGUGUGUGUUCUUUUAUCUUAGGGAAUCCACUUAGCGUGACCCACCCAUAUUGAUUAUUUUACAAACAAUUCCAAGAAGUUAACUUCUAAAUCCAUUAGCGGAAAAAGAGGAUGUUGCUCUAGACAGAUACUGACAGUGGACCAUGUGGCAACCUUUAGAAAUAGCAAAGCUGUAACUGGAUACUCCGUGUUCUGUUUAAGAAGGCAGGAAAGUACGCAAAACAUUCUAGAAAUUUUUCUACUCCUGCUCCUGACAAUGUAAAAAUGUAAAAGAGAUUAAAAACCUCAGCCAUCUGAGAAGACUCACUCCCAGAAAGCAGCUAUGUUUAAUUGUAGUUAAAUAUUUAUUGUCAGUAAGUCCUAAGUCAAGUCCCUGGAGUGUGCUGGUUAAGGGAACAUCUCCGAAGGCAAAACAAGGGCCGUUUCCCUAGAACCCCCUGAACCAGCCUGGGCUAAAUGAUUCCCAGAACUUUCUUCUGUCCUUCCAGACUUCGGGGAAUUAUCUCAUUUUGCAAUAAAACCUGCCACUCUUUCCAAACACAGUUCUAUGUGUUUAAGUUUGGGUGGGGGAGGAUAUAUUGAAAGGUGACCUAAAACUAACUUUUUAAUAAUUUAUUUUUAUUUUUCGGCUUUUGCAGGGGCAGGUAAUUAGGUUUAUUUAUUUAUUUUUAGAGGAGGUACUUGGAUUAAACCCAAGACCUCAUGUAUGCUAAGCAUGCGCUCUGCCACUAGAGCUAUACCCUCCCCCAAAGAGUUUUUUAACUUUCGGCAGUCCUUGAAAGGCAACUGUUUACUCAUUACAAGUGUGGAUGAACGUUGUGGAAAUUUUAGGAAACACGGAUAAGAACAAAGUAAAACUUAUCAUUUCAUUCCAAGAGUUCGGACUGUGAACAUACAUCCUUCCAAUCUUCUAUCUUUUAAAUUAUUUUUAAUUGAACAAGAGGUACAUAAAUACAUGCACAUUUUAAACAAAACUAGUGCAUCAUAUAUAAAAAUAAAUUACCCAUUGACCACCUCUUAUAAUCCUAGACCCUUCCUUCUAUCUAAGUGACCAACCUCUCUUGGGAGUUUGGUGUGUUUCCUUCCAGAAACCUAUAACUGUAUAUUGAUGUGCUUGUGUGUUGCAUUUACAUAAGAGGCAUCAUAUUAUAAGCAUGAUUUUGCAAUUUAACAAUGUUUUGGAAAUCUAAAGUUAUAGUAUAUAGACCAAGUAUAUGUCUUUAACUGCUGCACAGUAUUCCAUUGUAUGGAUAUACCAUAUUUUAUUGUCCUUUCUCCUUUUAGUGGAUCCUUAGGAUCGUUUACAAUUUUUCACUACCUCCAAUAAUGUUGCAAUAAAUGUCUUCCAUGUUUUUUUUCAUAUCUUGAGGUUCUAAGUUCCUACGAAAGGGAAUUGUGGAUCCAUGGCUGUGCCCACGUUGCCUCUCACAUGACUGUGUCACUUUGAAGGAGGAAAAGAGAAUCUAAAAGUUCCUAUGUCCCAGCAGUCUUGAUGACUCUUCACCUAUCAGACGUUUCAAAGUGGUCAGUGUAUUAGGUGUAAGGCAGUAUUUCUUCAAUGUUUUUAUCAGGCAACUACAUCUUCUUACAUGUUUUUGCUCUUUUAUGAAUUCCCUAUUCAUAUCCUUUCCUCAUUUUUCUAAAGGGUGUUCUUUUUUUUUUUCACAUAUAUCUGUUGUACUCAUUCUUUAUUAUGUAAGUUGCAAAACUCUCCCAGUCUUCAGCUUGUCCUUCACAUGGUUUGGACUAUCUUUUAUUAUACAAUUCCUUUUUUUUUUUAAACAAUCUAGAUGAUAUUUAUUCAUUAAUUUAAUUUAAAUUGUUCAGCCUCUUAUUAUAUGAGUUUUGCUUUCCAUGACUUAUUUAAGGUUUCCCUUUCCCUGGAAUCAUAAUGAUAUUUCCCUAUACUUCUUUCCCUAAAACCUUAAAAUUUUUUAUUUUGAGGGUUGAGGUUUUUAACGCAUCUAAACUAUAACUUUGUGUACCAUGUAAGGCAGAAAUUUGCUUGUAUUGAUUUUGCCUACAUAGCUGAUUCUCUCAAUAUCGUUUGUUAAAUAGUGCAUUUUUCCCAGAUGAAUUGAAACGCUGCUUGUAUCAUAUAUCAAUUUCCUAGUAUUGUUCCUGGAUUCUUUGUCAAAAUCAUGUUUUAUUGACCGAGUUCUAGUCUUACAACGAAAUGCCACUGAUUUACUUGCUCUGCAGUGUGUGUGUGUGUUUACAACCUGCUUUUGUUUUAUUACCUGCUGUUUUUACUGAAAAACUGCAUCAGGAGAAUGGAGAAAUUCUGAGAGUCACAUGAUGGAAUAUAGCAAUUAAAAGAAACUAAAGCUACACAUAUCAGCGUGGAUACAUUUCUCAAAUGCAAGGGUGAGCGAGAAAAACAAGCUGCCUCAAAAUUUCUUGGAGAACACCAUUUAUAUAAAGCUUGAAAUAUGUAACACAAUUAUUUAAUGUAGGUUAAAAAUACAAACGGCAUACAAAUGAAAAGGAAAUUCACGCGAAGGCUAAAAACCAAAAUUCAGGAUUAAAGGUGGAUUUACCAUGAAGCUUAAGUUCAGGCCUCUCAGUUACACAGAACCCAUCCAAGGUCCUCAGCUUGAAUUUGAUUUCAUUAUUGUGUACUUUGUUUUCUUAAAGAGACUCUUCUUUCCCAAACCGUAUUAGCUUCAUCCUCUCCCUAGAGGAAGGGAGAGAUGGGGAUGAGAGGGAAGGGGGAGAGGGGAGGGAAGAAGAAGAUGCUGGCUCCCCGGUGCCUUCCCUGACACCACUGGUCAGCUCUUGGGCACUCGUGCCUGAAGGCAUGUUUACUGCAAACUAGAAGGUGGGACAGCUAUUGGGUUGAUUACCAUUUCAGGGCCUUGCAAAGUUCCAGGCCUGGAGGACACAUAACAGAAGCCACUGGGCAGGGAGGGGUUCCCAAGAGGGCUGCCAGCUGCUACACUGAACCCUUAGCCUAUUUUUCCCGCCCUGGUGCGCCAUUUACAUGAACAAAGAGCUCGCAAAAUCAACUAUACUUCAAUUUAAAAGAGAGAGCGAGAGAGAGAGAGAGAGCUCUCAAAACGCAGAGGCUGAGUGCUUUGGGGUUGUGCCCAGGAAGACGGUUUGAGACAUCAAGGCACCCUGGAGCCACAAUUCUGCCCAGUUCUUUAAGCUUCCAGACUAACUCCUACUUCUUCUACUCAAAGCAUAUGCCUUUUUUUGUUGUUAAAACAAACCAACUAGAACAAAGUAAAUAAAUGACAGUUAUUUUUAAAACAGCAACAUACACCAUGAACAUCUUUCCAUGUGAUUAAGUAUUCUUCUACAACAUUUUUAACGGCCACGUAGGACAUAUCAAAAUUGAUUAAACAGUCACUAGCGUUAGACAUUUAGAUUGGUUCCAGUUUCUGUUCAAUGCAAAUAUUCCUACAGUUGACCCUUGGCAUACAGAAUUAUUUCUUUAAAAAAAAAAAACUUCCCAUAAGUGGACUUCCUUUGUCAAAGAGGCUGAGUAUUUUCAAGGCUUUUGAGGGAGAUCGCCAAGGACCCCUCCAAAAAUGUCACAUCAAUUCACACACACAUCAGUGGAUGAGAGUGUCUCGUUCCCCAAACUGAAGCCAAUGUUAAAUGUUUACAUUAAAUGAAAAUAUGUUGUCCAUUGGGUAGAUACAAAAUGGCAUCUCAUAGCUGUAAUUUGCCCUCAGUCCCAAGAUUAAAUCGCCAUGGUUCA